This 253-nucleotide ribosomal RNA is filed under the name uncultured bacterium. RNAcentral's name for it is "partial 16S ribosomal RNA". It matches the Rfam family "Bacterial small subunit ribosomal RNA", at positions 524 to 776 of the family's 1533-position model. The record is from RNAcentral.
UACGUAGGGGGCUAGCGUUGUCCGGAAUCAUUGGGCGUAAAGCGCGUGUAGGCGGCUCGAUAAGUCUGCUGUGAAAGCCCAGGGCUCAACCCUGGAAUGCCGGUGGAUACUGUCGAGCUAGAGUCCGGAAGAGGCGAGUGGAAUUCCUGGUGUAGCGGUGGAAUGCGCAGAUAUCAGGAGGAACACCAAUAGCGAAGGCAGCUCGCUGGGACGUUACUGACACUGAGGCGCGAAAGCGUGGGGAGCGAACAGG